GACGAACCGUGCGAACGUUAUUCGGAAUCACUGGGCUUAAAGGGCGCGUAGGCGGGUCCGUUAGUCAGGGGUGAAAUCCCACGGCCCAACCGUGGAACUGCUGGGCAUACUGCGGGUCUUGGGCCAACUAGGGGCAGCCGGAACAAGCGGUGGAGCGGUGAAAUGCGUAGAUAUCGCUUGGAACGCCGAAGGUGAAAACAGGCUGCUGGGGUUGCGCCGACGCUGAGACACGAAAGCCAGGGGAGCAAACGGG
This 253-nucleotide ribosomal RNA is filed under the name uncultured bacterium. Its description in RNAcentral is "partial 16S ribosomal RNA". It matches the Rfam family "Bacterial small subunit ribosomal RNA", at positions 524 to 776 of the family's 1533-position model. The record is from RNAcentral.